Molecule: long non-coding RNA, 664 nt
Organism: Sinocyclocheilus grahami
Lineage: Eukaryota; Metazoa; Chordata; Actinopteri; Cypriniformes; Cyprinidae
Exons: 5
Source: RefSeq, a predicted model, not a curated record
ACACUCUCAGAAAAAUGGUACACGAUGGUACAAAUAAUGUUCCUCAAAGAACAGUUUUGUACCUUUUCAAUAACUGUACCUUUAAUGGUACAGUAAAGACCUCUGAUGAUACUGUUGGGCACCUUUGAAGGCACAACUGAAAUAAAGGCAUAGCAACAAGACUCUGAUUGGUCGAAAUCGCUGCGGCCGUUACAGAAUUUUCAAACAGAACAGAGAGCGGGAAGCAGACUACUUUUGCCCUUUUAUCAACAGAAAAGCUCUUUGAGAAUGGAUUGUAAAUUUUAAUCUUGAAGACGACGAGAUUUAAAGGCAUAGCAACACAAGACUUGACUGGCCGAAGUCGCAGCAGCCGUUAACGGAAUUUUUAAACCGCAGAGAGCGGGAAGCAGUGCGCCGCUGCGCCGGUCUACAGCGCCAGCACAACCAGGACCUCGGCUUCUUUAUCGUCGGAGGAACUUCAUAAGCUAAAGCGAGGCUUGACUCCAAUUAUCAGACGGAGAAAGAAGGAAAUUCAAAGGUGAAGACUGUCUACUGUUGGGGAGGAUGCUAUUUCAUGCCCAUGUGAAGACUUUGCAGGACCAGAAGAAGACCACCAGAAAUUGGCCCAAUGUAUACCGUAACUGAUUGAAGGUGUUUACCGGGUUCCUUAAAGGUUAAGUUCACC